Molecule: unclassified non-coding RNA, 937 nt
Filed under: Caenorhabditis elegans
Lineage: Eukaryota; Metazoa; Nematoda; Chromadorea; Rhabditida; Rhabditidae
Description: Non-coding transcript of protein-coding gene T10B5.10c
Source: RNAcentral
CCCGAAGAUCUGCUCCUCAAAGCCCUCUCCCAACCGUCACCCUUCUCGUUCAACCCCUUUGCCACCGCAGAGAUCAAGCUCGGAGCCCAAGAUGACUUCCUGGCGGCUCUAAUCCAACAAGCCUCGCAGUACGCCAAUUCCAGCACAUCCCCAUCGGCCAAUUCGAAUGAAGGAAACGCAUCUAAUGAAAACGAGAGUCUCACCAGCGAUUCGGUAUUUCUUAGCAAAUUGAACAGCACCUAUCAGAAUAUUAAAGAAGAAGAUUCCUCCUCCUCGUCAGUCAGUGGAAGCACCUCGACAUCCACGUCAUCAGCAGAAUUCCAUCUGAAUGAUGGGACAAGCAUCGCCGCGCUGCUACAAAUCGCCACAGAUUCUGACUUGGUAUUCACAUUUAAUGCGAGAAAAAUGGGCGAAUAUUGCUUUGAGAGUAAUUUAAAAAAUCAAAAAAUGGUAACCCUAACCGAUUGCGGUAACGAAAUCCGAGUCACUCAGCUGGAAAACGACGAGGAGACCCGCGUAGAAAUGUGGAGGAAAAGCGACUGGCAGCAGUUCACUUGGGCGGUGCGGGGCUCUUGUCUCCAUUUUUUGAAGGGUUGCUCCGAAGCACCUUUGAUAAAGAUAGAAGAUGUGAUGAAUCUUGUUGAAGGUUGAAGGAUUAAAAAAGUAAUCCCAACGCUACCAGUUCCAUACUCUUUGUCAUUCCAAUCGAUUUCUCUAACUUCCUCCCAGUGCUAUUUUCACCCCAGUUUCCCUUCAUAAUGAUCACUUACUGGCCCAAAUUGGCGUCUUUCAAUUCAAUUUUUUCCAAAACUUUUUGAAUUUUUCCUCAUUUAUUUAUUGGCUGACGGGUUUUUCUAUUUAUUAAUUUUUAUCUUUUUUUAAAUUUUUCCCUUGACAUUCUAUCAUAAUUUAAAAAAAGAAUAAAUAAUUCCCGUGU